Molecule: transfer RNA, 76 nt
Filed under: Hyphomonas sp.
Lineage: Bacteria; Pseudomonadati; Pseudomonadota; Alphaproteobacteria; Hyphomonadales; Hyphomonadaceae
Also listed under: 15 other names
Description: tRNA-Ala
Rfam family: tRNA
About the family: Transfer RNA (tRNA) molecules are approximately 80 nucleotides in length. Their secondary structure includes four short double-helical elements and three loops (D, anti-codon, and T loops).
Source: RNAcentral
GGGGCAUUAGCUCAGCUGGGAGAGCACCUGCUUUGCAAGCAGGGGGUCAGCGGUUCGAUCCCGCUAUGCUCCACCA